AUGUCCAUCACCCCUGUUAUCGUGAUCCUCAACUUGAUUGUGCUGCUCACAAAUUUUGUCAAAGUUAUCUCGUGUUGGAGGGUAGGCGUUGACUUCUCCAGCAAACGAGUUGCUGAGUUCAUGAGGAAGCAGGCCAGGGAGGACCGUCCUAGUGUGUUCAACCCUGUCGCCAUGGAAGGCUACAGGUACCCUAUUCGAUGUGGUAGACACAAAUCGAUCACCAUCGACGAGGUUUGGAAAUUGGACAGCACGCUUUUCAGGUCAGGUGCUUCCACCAAGCUGAAAGAUUCUUGCCUAUCAUAUGCCCUGUUUAAGCUCUUGAGGCGGCAGUACCAUGGGAUGGAGUGUGCUGAAGCCGGCCUUCCCGAAACCCGUGAUUUUGUCUUGAAGGGUUUGCUGUUGACAGAAGACGACCAUCAGAUUGAAAGGGCGUUCAGCAUUGUGGAGGUAGAACUUGGUUUCUAUCAUGACUACCUCUUCACCAAAUACAAUAUCAUCCGUAAGCGGGAGAAACUGUUCUUCGCAAUGUUGCUUGUGAGGAUACUUCUUAUAUCUAUUGUUUUACACUAUGUCACCCGGAAUUCAUUGGCUGUCAUGACAGCAGCUGCUAUAAUUGAGGUGCAGACCAAGACUGUUGAUACUAUCAUUACUGUACUUGUUCUCACCAUUAUUCUCAUGGUUGAAGUUCUGCAAGCCGCAUUUUACCUGGCAUCAGACUGGGCCAAAGUGACACUUACCAAAAGAUAUUUAAGUAACCACUGUUACCGGGGCAAUGCUUGUUUGGAGAAGAUUAUUGUUUUCAUCAGCAAGGUCACCAUGUUCAGAUAUUGGGCAAAUCAAAUUGGACAAAGUUCAGUGAUUUCAGACAACAAAUAUUUUGCCAGACACCUGCAGUAUGUCAUAGAAAGCCCUCCACACUCACUUGCGAUGUUGUUCAGUAGCUUCAGUCUUGGCAAAAGGACAACCCGUGUGAGCAUAUGCAGCCCCGUCAAGAGAGCCAUCGCUAGGUCCAUUAAAAUGAGUAAAGAUCCUCUAACAAACGGCAAGUCAUCACUAGACCACAAUGGAGUGCUGCGAGGAUUCUCCUGGGCACUGAAUGGACAAACUCAGACAGAGAUCAUGCUAAUUUGGCACAUUGCGACUGAGUACUGCAACAUUGCUCAGCCUAAUACCACGGAAACAGGUGAGGUGCAAGACAUGAAGUGCCACCGUGAAGUUGCAGUCAGGUUAUCAAGAUACUGCGCAUACUUGAUAGAUUCUGCCCCAGAACUGCUUUCAGACUACAUGGAUACUGAGAUUCCCAUAGCUAAGAUGAUGCAAGAUAUGCGCAAAGUUAUGGGAAAAUGUACAUCCAUUCAUGCGAAAUUUGAGGUCAUGAAGCAUUUAGAAGAGUGUGAGGGGGAGGAGGAGGAGGAGGAGACCAUGUUCCGACGAGGGGUCAAGCUGGGGAAGCAGCUUGACUGCUUGGAUGCUGCUCUGCAAUGGAAGGUGCUGGAGGAAUUCUGGGCAGAGACCAUCGUCUACAUCGCACCUUCAGAUAAUGUCAAUGGGCACUUGGAACGCCUUGCAAAAGGCGGGGAGUUCCUAACCCACAUCUGGGCCCUGCUAUCUCAUGCUGGCAUCCGGGCGAUAAACAGGGUGCAAGAUAAGCACACCAUGCCCAGCCAUCCGUCCGAAGAAAAUGUGUGA
RNAcentral lists this ribosomal RNA (1689 nucleotides) under Triticum aestivum (bread wheat). RNAcentral's name for it is "partial small subunit ribosomal RNA". Lineage: Eukaryota; Viridiplantae; Streptophyta; Magnoliopsida; Poales; Poaceae. The record is from RNAcentral.